This 471-nucleotide ribosomal RNA is filed under the name Salmonella enterica subsp. enterica serovar Brandenburg. RNAcentral's name for it is "bacterial SSU rRNA". It matches the Rfam family "Bacterial small subunit ribosomal RNA", at positions 1 to 468 of the family's 1533-position model. Lineage: Bacteria; Pseudomonadati; Pseudomonadota; Gammaproteobacteria; Enterobacterales; Enterobacteriaceae. The record is from RNAcentral.
AAAUUGAAGAGUUUGAUCAUGGCUCAGAUUGAACGCUGGCGGCAGGCCUAACACAUGCAAGUCGAACGGUAACAGGAAGCAGCUUGCUGCUUUGCUGACGAGUGGCGGACGGGUGAGUAAUGUCUGGGAAACUGCCUGAUGGAGGGGGAUAACUACUGGAAACGGUGGCUAAUACCGCAUAAUGUCGCAAGACCAAAGAGGGGGACCUUCGGGCCUCUUGCCAUCAGAUGUGCCCAGAUGGGAUUAGCUUGUUGGUGAGGUAACGGCUCACCAAGGCGACGAUCCCUAGCUGGUCUGAGAGGAUGACCAGCCACACUGGAACUGAGACACGGUUCAGACUCCUACGGGAGGCAGCAGUGGGGAAUAUUGCACAAUGGGCGCAAGCCUGAUGCAGCCAUGCCGCGUGUAUGAAGAAGGCCUUCGGGUUGUAAAGUACUUUCAGCGGGGAGGAAGGUGUUGUGGUUAAUAACC